Molecule: RNA transcript, 649 nt
Organism: Tribolium castaneum (red flour beetle)
Lineage: Eukaryota; Metazoa; Arthropoda; Insecta; Coleoptera; Tenebrionidae
Exons: 3
Source: RefSeq, a predicted model, not a curated record
AGUUCUAUAUUAAUAUUUGCAGUCACAGGAGCACUGUUGUUUAUAGCUGUAGUAACAUUUUUCUUUACAGUAAGUCUUUUAUCAUCCAAUAAGCUAUUAAGUUUCUUUUUAAGUAUGAAGACACCCUCAAAAAUCAGUUUCACCGUGUGCUCGCUUUUACUGUUACGUCAGGAUUAACUGGUGUUCAUACACUCGUUGCUGGUCAAUUGAAUGAGGAUGUUACUUCUGAUCUGUUGAAAACUCUAAAAACCGUCAAUUGGGAAUGUUGGAAUUACGAAAAUAGAAAAACUUUCGUUAUACUGUUACAAAAUACACAAAAAUGUAUCAAGAUUAAAUUUUCUGAAAACGUGUCCGUUAAUUAUGCUCUAGGCGUGUCUCUGGGAAGAGCCGUUUAUUCCGUAAUGUCCGUAAUGAGACAAUUGAAAAAUUGAAACUGAACCGAAGAAAGAUUUUUUAUGCUUGUUGGUAACAUUUAAAGCCUUCUUUUUAAUAUCUGAUCCUAGAUUAUAAACACUAUUUUAAAACAAGUUUCCGAUAGCAACGUAUUUUCACUAUUUUAAAACACGCUUCCCAUAGCAACGUGUUUUAAAUUAAAAUGUUCAAAUAAACAUUGUACGAAAACACUAAGGGCCAAUUUAUAGAAAGCACA